UAUGAAUCCAGAGUACGACAAUGUAGUAUCCAAACAGAAAACAAAUGACAUAAAACCUGUUGCUCAAUUAACCUAUAAAUUUAGAAACCUGCAAGAACCUCAAACAUACAGAAAGGAAGUUGCUUAGCUCUGCUCAGUUGUGGAUAAAACCAAGGCCCACAGACCAAAAUGGGUCUGGAAAUAAACUUCAGGAAAAGUAAAUAAUGCAUAAAAUAAGCAAGAGAAAACAAGUGGACGUGGGGCAGCCAGAGCUGGUCUGAUGGUGAUGAUGAUGGUGAUGAUGGGGUGGUGAUGAUCAUAGAGAAGAUAACAAUGGUGCUGAUGAUGGUGGUGGUGAUGAUGGAGAUUAUGGUGGUGAUGACAGUGGUGGUGAUAAUGAAGAUGAAAGUAGGAGAUGGAAAAAGGAAGAGCAGGAGGAAGAGGAGAACUUAGAGCUUGUUACAUGGCAUUAACUAUAGUUUCCUGCACUAUAUGGUAAAUCCUUAUUGCACCAUCAAAUGCUGAAGAUGAGGGUUGAAAUGCUCCUGGAUGUAGCCCCAGAGAGACACACAUACCAACUGCGACCACCAAGCCUCCCCCUCCUUGCCAAACAUGCAUCUCUGGACAUGAAAAGAAAGCAGCAUGAGCUUGUGUGUAGUCAACUGGAUUAUCUGAAACCUCCCCGGCUUCCACAGCAGGGACUGGCAUGGGUUUUCUGGAAAGGGCCGAGUAGCAAAGAUUCCCAGCUGUACGGUCUACAUGGCGUCCCUCGGAGGCAAGCAUGCCACUCUGUUGUUUUAGCAAAAAAGCAGCCAUGGAAAAUAACACAUGGAAGCUGCCAUAUUCCACUAAAAUUUUAUUCAUAGAAACAGAUCUGGCCCACAGGUGUGCCGAUCCCUGUUCUGUAGUCAUUUCUGUGACCCACACAGCAAGAGGACUAGUUGUCCUCUCUUCCCCUGAAAUAGCAUGGAAAUUAUUUCACAUUAAAAUAUUUCAACCUGUAUAAGUUUACCUAUAGGCUGUACCUCAAAUGCCUUCUGGAGAAAAAAAAAAAUUCAAACUCUUGUUUCAUAAAAUAAUCAUCUGUGUUUGUGACUGGAGAAGUGAAUGCCUCAGGGUGGGCAAAUGGUCCUGGAGCCACACGGGUCUGUGAGCCACAGCUGGGAGAAGAUUCCUGGCCGUGCUCACCAUCCCCAACCUUACCAUAUGAAAAAUUCUGCCUCUCAAUUAGCAGUGCAGAAAGAAUAGUACUUUCAUUAUAACUCACACUCUGCAAUUUAGGUCAUGCCUACGGCAAUCAAUAAAACCCUCCACUUAGAUUCUCCAUGGUUAAUUUGAUUCCUCCCCCCACAACCAGCUCUAAACCAGUAGAGUUGUUUUGGUUUUUUUUUUUUGCUUUUUUGUUUUUUAAGUUGUUUUCAAUUAAACCAAUUUGUCACAGACACCUCUGUUCUCGAUAGGGUAGUUUCAAUGCAAUUUCUUUUUUGUUUUGAAAAGUGGGCAAAAUGCAUGUGCAAGGGUUAGGUUCCAACCACUAUAGUUUGUGCAAAGAGCUACUAGAAAUAGAGAACAGGUCACACACCACACACACACACAGUUGACUUCCUUUAUAGUUUGAUUGUGCACAAUUCUGUACACACCUUUGAGUGUGCAGAAUGUUAGAUCUUGAUAGUGGUGCUGAUGGUGAUGACAGCUCCACUUUAAUCCAUCAUUGGUACAUGACGAACACCCUCACACAUGUCACCUCAAAUCCUCAUGGCAAAUCCUCUCCCUGUUUACAGAAGAGGAAAUGGAGGACUAGAGAACUGAUAUAGUAUCUAUUUCACAGGGAGGCUGUGAAACACUGAGGUCAAAAGAUAGCUCAGGGUUUAAAUCUCCUCCACCUUACUAAUUUGUGAUGUUGAGCAACUUUCUUAAUCUUGGGCAAGGCUAGGUGUUUUCACUUGUAAACGGUGAUAAUUACAUCUAUCUUAAGACUGUAUUGAAAGAACUAGAUGAGAGAAUAUCUAUAAGCUCCUAGAUGGACGGCUUAGCACACGCGUUAGUCUGAACCAGAAGAAAAGGCCUCUAUUUAACCGCAUCCUAGCCUAGGAAAGUGAUAAUUUCAUAUGGCUGAAACGAUAACAGCUCAGCAAAUGGCAAUAUUGUUGUUACUGCUCCAGGACAAUAGCAGGUGGCAAAGAAGGGAUUUUAAUCUGAAUGUGACUGACGGUAGAAGCCAGUUCGUUUUUGCUAACCUAGUGACUUUCAGAGAAAUACAAUGAUAUUUCUUACAGAGGGGUCUCCUGAUAAACUGAAAAUGACAUCAUGGAACUGGUAUGAUAAGAACAUGGCUGUUUUUUUAUUUUACUAAAAGCAUUUUAUGAACAGGGCAAAGCUAUUUCAUAAUCAGCUUGGUAUAUCCAAAACUUGUUUGAAGUAUAUUAAUCAAAUGUCAGUUGAAUAAAAAUGUGAACUGUCUCUCUCCUUUAAUGUAUGAAGGUUCAUGAUCUACUGAAAAUUGGGAUCUGCCUCAUUAAACAGUUAUAAUUAACUCUGCUCAUAAUAUUCUACAGUGGAAUUGCUGUCGUGGUUGGUACUUAACGCUAGGAGGAUAAUUCAGCAGCAUUUGAAGGAAGAACAAUCAGAUUUUCUCUUUUCACAUUCCAUGUUGGGAACUGGGAGUAAACUGAACUUUCUCUUCCCAGGCUGGGGAAUCUUAGGGUAAAGAGACUUCCCCUCAAAUGCCUGUCUGCUCAUUGACAGGUUUAAAAGAAAUAACUUUCCAUCUGAAACUAAA
Long non-coding RNA from Odocoileus virginianus texanus, 2758 nucleotides. RefSeq lists it as uncharacterized. Lineage: Eukaryota; Metazoa; Chordata; Mammalia; Artiodactyla; Cervidae. The record is from RefSeq and is a predicted model, not a curated record.